Long non-coding RNA from Labeo rohita (rohu), 169 nucleotides. RefSeq lists it as uncharacterized. NCBI's taxonomy places the organism in Eukaryota, Metazoa, Chordata, Actinopteri, Cypriniformes, Cyprinidae. The transcript has 3 exons. The record is from RefSeq and is a predicted model, not a curated record.
UGUUAACAAAACUAACAAAAUACAGCCAUGGUUUCGUGUGGAUGCAAGAAACUACACGUGGCAAGAUAACGUAAAGUCAUACAAGUUUGGAGCGGCAUGAAGCAUCCCUAUUUCCACCCACCCUGCUGCUGUCAGAGGAAACUGCUGGUGCAAUGGAGGAUCCAGGAGC